RNAcentral lists this ribosomal RNA (443 nucleotides) under uncultured bacterium. Its description in RNAcentral is "partial 16S ribosomal RNA". It matches the Rfam family "Bacterial small subunit ribosomal RNA", at positions 338 to 795 of the family's 1533-position model. The record is from RNAcentral.
CCUACGGGAGGCAGCAGUGGGGAAUAUUGGGCAAUGGAGGAAACUCUGACCCAGCAACGCCGCGUGAAUGAUGAAGGUCUUCGGAUUGUAAAGUUCUGUGAUGGGGGAUGAAAACAAUGACGGUACCCCAAUAGCAAGCCACGGCUAACUACGUGCCAGCAGCCGCGGUAAUACGGAGGUGGCAAGCGUUAUCCGGAAUUACUGGGCGUAAAGGGUGCGUAGGUGGUUUAGUAAGUUGGCGGUGUAAUUCCGGGGCUCAACCUCGGCGCUACCGCCAAAACGAUUAGACUAGAGUGCAGGAGGGGUAAGCGGAAUUCCUAGUGUAGCGGUGGAAUGCUUAGAUAUUAUGAGGAACAUCAGGGGAGAAGGCGACUUACUGGACUGUAACUGACACUGAGGCACGAAAGCGUGGGGAGCAAACAGGAUUAGAUACCCCUGUAGUC